CUUAAAUUCCUGUAAUUAUGCUGCCAGGUCCCGUCUGUAAAAUAUUUCUUUGUCGAUGUCUUAUAUUUUUAGCAUAAACAGCGAUGCGAAAGUUGUCGAAGCAUUGCGAGCGCCCUCUUGUGUUUUCCGUUGAAUAGAGCAUACAGAGUUGCGUAACAAUUUGCAUAUGACAUGCAGUGCGAAAAAGCCUUUUAUUCCGUGCAGUGUCUCAAAAGCAUAGGGCUUCGGACGCACAUUCCGUGAAUUUUUCGCUAGUUUUCUUGGAGAGUAAGCAAGCAUGGGUAGGUCACUUGACUGCUUGUCUUUGCUGCUGCCAGCCACACCUUAUUGCGAGCCAGCUUGUCUAUAUUUUGCUGUGUUUCUCACGUGGUUUUGCCAUGGUUAGCACGCCGCAUGUGCAUACACAUAUCAUGUACAUGCAUAUCGUGUAGUUUGCCCAAACAUCCCGAGGCAUAGGUACACAGGCCGCAACUGCUCCGGUAAGUGUUUCAACUUCGUAAUUUUUGAUGUUAUCUUAAAUAGCACUUUACGACACAUUUUUAUGCCAUGAAUACUCGAGGUUGGAAGCCAAGUCUGUAUGAAACAUUUUUAUGCCAUAAAAUAAAUCUCCCAGGUUUAAAGCCAAGUCUGUAUGAAGAUUGUUGUGCAUAAGAUGACUUGAAUUUUCGAUACCGAAUUUCCUUGUAAUAUUGACUGUAUACUUGCACAUACUUCGAUCCUAAAUAUGUUGAAUUAUAGGGUCAAUGCACUUUAUUGAACUCAAAUUUGGAUAGCGUGGAUGGAAAGAGAACUUAGAGAAUGUUUUAGCCUGAAAUAAAACCAUGAGACAUAUAGAUGGAUGUACGAAUACAGAAUAUUGAAUACUCUUUUUAUGAGCCUUACUGUUUAAACAAACAAAUGUUAAGAAAUAGAUGUACUGUAUAAAAUGCAUUGGAAAUUCAUCAAUAUAGAAUAACUACGGAUGUGUACACAUGUACUGUGGAGAUGAAACUUUUUGAUGGCACUGAUGAUUAUUUAAUAUUCCUUCAUCGAAACAUUUAUUAGUAUUUAUGAGAUUACUUAAUAUGUACAGUAAUUUUAUUACAGCUACUGCUUGUGGUUCUGUGGUUCCUGAGUGGUCACAAAUAGAGAAGCCUUCUCGAGUAGACCAGUGUAUCCCUUAUCCAGCAUCCAUAAUAUUUGGACUGCUGAAGAAUGACUGUCGUUUUUUUGUAAUAAAAUUUUGAUCAAUUUAUAGUGGAAUAUAUACCCAGUGUCACUUUCAAAUUUUUCUGCGUAACCUUUCCAGCUCGGUUACAAAAAUGGCGUAGUCGGCAGGAUGUCAUAAAAGACAUCCUUAUUUGUGACACAUUUGAUCAAAUAUAAACGACAGUCAUUAUUAUUACCAUCAUCAUCAUCAUCAUCAUUAUCUUCGAUGACAACCUUCUUGAGAGAAGCGUCUUUCAUCAGAAGGGUGGUUUGCUGCAGCAGUGCGUUUACAUCAUCUAGUCUCCGGACAGACAGCUGCCCAGAUGUUCGUCUGAAGUGAGAGUAUUUUCCAUGUAGCUACACACAUCUUCUGGGAGAGCCUUCUUAGCUUCACAUAUCUUCCCCACAGUUCGGCACCCAGUCGUUGAGACAGCUUGGAGAGACAUUCUUCACCAUCACCGGUUUUUCAGCCGAGCGGCCGUGGAGUGUGCUGCUAGUAUUCAGCUACGGAACUCUUUCACUGAUGGUGAACUGUAAACAUAUUCACUGGGAACAGUGUCGUGCAGUCAAGAUUUUUAACAUUUUAAUAUUGCAUAUUCAUUUGUAUUUUAACUUGUAGCCAUUGAGCAUGUCGUUUUGACAAUGGAAGUUUUGCAUGUUAGAAACAGCUUUAUCACAUACAUAGAACAGAUUGAUUGUUUGAUUGGUCCGAUUGAAGAUCAGCUAUUUUCGUAAAAUCAAGUUUGCCUUGGAGUCGACGUUAUAGAUAUUUCACAUUUGAGUAUAUACUCGUAUAUUGUGUGAAUAUUUUAGUAACACCGUGGUAGUUUAUUUCUUUUUAUAUCUGCAGGUUUAAGCUUUCCAGGGACAGUUCUGGCUUCUGUACCUCAUGCUCUGCUCCCUGCCCUGCUAUCUUCAAUGCAGUUACUACCCGCUUGUUGCUCAGUCUCUCGUAUCCACGAACCGCUGUAGCAUAUCGUAUCUGUUUCUUUACCGACGCUGCGUAGAAUGCGUGUUAAGGUGAUGCAUGCUAAUUGCUUGCUCAUGCUGCCUGUACUUGUAUUUGUCCGUGUAUUGAUUUUUUUCACAUUACUAGUUGUAGUCUCUGGUUGAAACAUAUUGAAUUCAUAGUCGCAGAAAGUAGAGUAUUUGCUCUAGAUUUGAGACUUUUGGAGGAAUGACACCUGUACAUUUAAAACCCAGGAUAGAUCUAAUGCAGACCCUGUAUGUCAUUCUUAAACUGUACAGUCCUUUUAUCCGUAUUGAUAGUAGCCAGUAUUUGGUAAAUUUUAUUCUCUUCAUGUCCUAAUUUCGUUUUAACCACUAUAUUUUUGGGAUUAGCUAACCCAACGUGGAUAAAUAAACAUGUUUAGGUUGGGAAUGAAAGAGGCCCUGUAAGUAUAUGUUGAGGAUUUUCUUUUUAAAAUACAUGUAGGUGUUAGCCAGAUGCUUGGAUUUUUUUAUAGUGAAGGAUAGUGUAGUAUAUGAUCAUCUUGAGAAAUUAGGUUUCUUGGACAAAUUGAGAUAAAUGUAAUCUCUAUUUCUCCAGCGACAUGCUAGAGAUGGACCAUAUUUUUACCAUUUUCUCUAUCCCAUCAUUCCACACUAUCUUGCCAUUUUAAUUAAUACUGAUAUUAUGGAUGUUUUUUAGGGAAUGUUUUAUUUUGAGAAACAGAUUGCCAGAUUUUCAUUUAGUUAGGGCUUUCGUAUGUCUGAUCAUUGGCCAAAUUGGGAGUUUUAGAUUUAAGGUCCAUUGAGGUCAUCUCAUUUCACUAGUCAUAUACUAGUGGUGGACAUUCUUUUAUCGUGCUCUCGACCAUGUGUACAUAUUAUCAUAGUCCAACUUCAUUCUGAAGAACUGGUGGAGGAUUUUUUUAAAGUAAACAUUUCCUGUCCACUGUCUCACUCAGUCUAGAGCUGCCAAGAUAUAUUUUUUGUCUUUUGAGAAUAUUUUUCAUUACACAAUUUUUAAUCCCGGAUGAUUAUGACCAGCCAGACUUAAAUUCCUGUAAUUAUGCUGCCAGGUCCCGUCUGUAAAAUAUUUCUUUGUCGAUGUCUUAUAUUUUUAGCAUAAACAGCGAUGCGAAAGUUGUCGAAGCAUUGCGAGCGCCCUCUUGUGUUUUCCGUUGAAUAGAGCAUACAGAGUUGCGUAACAAUUUGCAUAUGACAUGCAGUGCGAAAAAGCCUUUUAUUCCGUGCAGUGUCUCAAAAGCAUAGGGCUUCGGACGCACAUUCCGUGAAUUUUUCGCUAGUUUUCUUGGAGAGUAAGCAAGCAUGGGUAGGUCACUUGACUGCUUGUCUUUGCUGCUGCCAGCCACACCUUAUUGCGAGCCAGCUUGUCUAUAUUUUGCUGUGUUUCUCACGUGGUUUUGCCAUGGUUAGCACGCCGCAUGUGCAUACACAUAUCAUGUACAUGCAUAUCGUGUAGUUUGCCCAAACAUCCCGAGGCAUAGGUACACAGGCCGCAACUGCUCCGGUAAGUGUUUCAACUUCGUAAUUUUUGAUGUUAUCUUAAAUAGCACUUUACGACACAUUUUUAUGCCAUGAAUACUCGAGGUUGGAAGCCAAGUCUGUAUGAAACAUUUUUAUGCCAUAAAAUAAAUCUCCCAGGUUUAAAGCCAAGUCUGUAUGAAGAUUGUUGUGCAUAAGAUGACUUGAAUUUUCGAUACCGAAUUUCCUUGUAAUAUUGACUGUAUACUUGCACAUACUUCGAUCCUAAAUAUGUUGAAUUAUAGGGUCAAUGCACUUUAUUGAACUCAAAUUUGGAUAGCGUGGAUGGAAAGAGAACUUAGAGAAUGUUUUAGCCUGAAAUAAAACCAUGAGACAUAUAGAUGGAUGUACGAAUACAGAAUAUUGAAUACUCUUUUUAUGAGCCUUACUGUUUAAACAAACAAAUGUUAAGAAAUAGAUGUACUGUAUAAAAUGCAUUGGAAAUUCAUCAAUAUAGAAUAACUACGGAUGUGUACACAUGUACUGUGGAGAUGAAACUUUUUGAUGGCACUGAUGAUUAUUUAAUAUUCCUUCAUCGAAACAUUUAUUAGUAUUUAUGAGAUUACUUAAUAUGUACAGUAAUUUUAUUACAGCUACUGCUUGUGGUUCUGUGGUUCCUGAGUGGUCACAAAUAGAGAAGCCUUCUCGAGUAGACCAGUGUAUCCCUUAUCCAGCAUCCAUAAUAUUUGGGUACGUGUGUAAAACAUUAUUGCUUGAAAUGUGCCUAAGAAAUUGGAGAUUUAGAGAUUAAUGUGUUGUAAAAUUAUUGCAUAGCAAGUGCUUAUGGAGAAUAUUUCUCCUUGAUUAAAUUUUUAUGCCUUUAAUAUUUUUAUGCCUCUCUAAGAAAUGUACUUGUAAAUUCGCAGCAAAAACAUUUCUAUGGAACAAAUCAAUGGAAAUUGAGG
Molecule: long non-coding RNA, 4583 nt
Organism: Patiria miniata (bat star)
Lineage: Eukaryota; Metazoa; Echinodermata; Asteroidea; Valvatida; Asterinidae
Exons: 2
Source: RefSeq, a predicted model, not a curated record